This 208-nucleotide ribosomal RNA is filed under the name uncultured Acidithiobacillus sp. RNAcentral describes it as "partial 16S ribosomal RNA". It matches the Rfam family "Bacterial small subunit ribosomal RNA", at positions 568 to 774 of the family's 1533-position model. Lineage: Bacteria; Pseudomonadati; Pseudomonadota; Acidithiobacillia; Acidithiobacillales; Acidithiobacillaceae. The record is from RNAcentral.
CGCGUAGGCGGUGGGUUACGUCUGCCGUGAAAUCCCCGGGCUCAACCUGGGAAUGGCGGUGGAAACGGGCUGACUAGAGUAUGGGAGAGGGUGAUGGAAUUCCAGGUGUAGCGGUGAAAUGCGUAGAGAUCUGGAGGAACAUCAGUGGCGAAGGCGGUCACCUGGCCCAAUACUGACGCUGAGGCGCGAAAGCGUGGGGGAGCAAACA